Molecule: ribosomal RNA, 510 nt
Filed under: uncultured bacterium
Lineage: Bacteria
Description: bacterial SSU rRNA
Rfam family: Bacterial small subunit ribosomal RNA
Source: RNAcentral
GAUCAUGGCUCAGGAUGAACGCUGGCGGCGUGCCUAAUACAUGCAAGUCGAACGCACAGCGAAAGGUGCUUGCACCUUUCAAGUGAGUGGCGAACGGGUGAGUAACACGUGGAUAACCUACCUUAAGGUUGGGGAUAACAUUUGGAAACAGAUGCUAAUACCGAAUAAAACUUAGUAUCGCAUGAUACCAGGUUAAAAGGCGCUACGGCGUCACCUAGAGAUGGAUCCGCGGUGCAUUAGUUAGUUGGUGGGGUAAAGGCUUACCAAGACAAUGAUGCAUAGCCGAGUUGAGAGACUGAUCGGCCACAUUGGGACUGAGACACGGCCCAAACUCCUACGGGAGGCUGCAGUAGGGAAUCUUCCACAAUGGGCGAAAGCCUGAUGGAGCAACGCCGCGUGUGUGAUAAAGGCUUUCGGGUCGUAAAGCACUGUUGUAUGGGAAGAACAGCUAGAGUAGGGAAUGACUUUAGUUUGACGGUACCAUACCAGAAAGGGACGGCUAAAUACGUG